This 460-nucleotide ribosomal RNA is filed under the name uncultured bacterium. Its description in RNAcentral is "partial 16S ribosomal RNA". It matches the Rfam family "Bacterial small subunit ribosomal RNA", at positions 338 to 795 of the family's 1533-position model. The record is from RNAcentral.
CCUACGGGAGGCAGCAGUGAGGAAUAUUGGUCAAUGGACGAGAGUCUGAACCAGCCAAGUAGCGUGAAGGAUGACUGCCCUAUGGGUUGUAAACUUCUUUUAUAUGGGAAUAAAACGUUCCACGUGUGGGAUUUUGUAUGUACCAUAUGAAUAAGGAUCGCCUAACUCCGUGCCAGCAGCCGCGGUAAUACGGAGGAUCUGAGCGUUAUCCGGAUUUAUUGGGUUUAAAGGGAGCGUAGGUGGAUUGUUAAGUCAGUUGUGAAAGUUUGCGGCUCAACCGUAAAAGUGCAGUUGAAACUGGCAGUCUUGAGUACAGUAGAGGUGGGCGGAAUUCGUGGUGUAGCGGUGAAAUGCUUAGAUAUCGCGAAGAACUCCGAUUGCGAAGGCAGUUCACUGGACUGCAACUGACACUGAGGCUCGAAAGUGUGGGUAUCAAACAGGAUUAGAUACCCCAGUAGUC